CGCUGAAAGCAUCUAAGCGGGAAACUAGCCUCAAGAUGAGAUCUCACUGGAACCUUGAGUUCCCUAAAGGGCCGUUCGAAGACUACGACGUUGAUAGGUUGGGUGUGUAAGCGCUGUGAGGCGUUGAGCUAACCAAUACUAAUUGCCCGUGAGGCUUGACCAUAUAACACCCAAGCAAUU
RNAcentral lists this ribosomal RNA (180 nucleotides) under Pseudomonas kitaguniensis. RNAcentral's name for it is "partial 23S ribosomal RNA". It matches the Rfam family "Bacterial large subunit ribosomal RNA", at positions 2769 to 2925 of the family's 2925-position model. Lineage: Bacteria; Pseudomonadati; Pseudomonadota; Gammaproteobacteria; Pseudomonadales; Pseudomonadaceae. The record is from RNAcentral.